GGACCCAUAGCCUAGUGGAUAGGGCAACUGCCUCCUAAGCAGUAGGUCGUGGGUUCGAUUCCCACUGGGUCCG
Molecule: transfer RNA, 73 nt
Filed under: Candidatus Iainarchaeum sp.
Lineage: Archaea; Nanobdellati; Candidatus Iainarchaeota; Candidatus Iainarchaeia; Candidatus Iainarchaeales; Candidatus Iainarchaeaceae
Description: tRNA-Arg
Rfam family: tRNA
About the family: Transfer RNA (tRNA) molecules are approximately 80 nucleotides in length.
Source: RNAcentral